This 236-nucleotide long non-coding RNA is filed under the name Setaria viridis. RNAcentral describes it as "long non-coding RNA (SVIR_LNC009182)". Lineage: Eukaryota; Viridiplantae; Streptophyta; Magnoliopsida; Poales; Poaceae. The record is from RNAcentral.
UUUAGUCCCGGUUGUAAUGGCUAGUUCCCAGCCACCGACGGUGCCCCCCUUUUGUUCCGGUUGGAGCCUCUAAUCGGGACAAAAGGGUUGCGCUUUUGUCCCAGUUGGUGGUUCCAAUCGGGAGUAAACUUCAACCGGGACAAAAGGUGUUCCUUUUUGUCCCAGUUGGAAUUUUAAACCGGGAUAAAAACUCAUCCCCCGUUAAAUCCCAAGAUAGAUCCCUUUCUUCCUCCUCC